Molecule: transfer RNA, 76 nt
Filed under: bacterium
Lineage: Bacteria
Description: tRNA-Gly
Rfam family: tRNA
About the family: Transfer RNA (tRNA) molecules are approximately 80 nucleotides in length. Their secondary structure includes four short double-helical elements and three loops (D, anti-codon, and T loops). Further hydrogen bonds mediate the characteristic L-shaped molecular structure. tRNAs have two regions of fundamental functional importance: the anti-codon, which is responsible for specific mRNA codon recognition, and the 3' end, to which the tRNAs corresponding amino acid is attached (by aminoacyl-tRNA synthetases). tRNAs cope with the degeneracy of the genetic code in two manners: having more than one tRNA (with a specific anti-codon) for a particular amino acid; and 'wobble' base-pairing, i.e. permitting non-standard base-pairing at the 3rd anti-codon position.
Source: RNAcentral
AUGCCCGUAGCUUAGUGGCAAGAGCGUCACGUUGCCAACGUGAAGGUCGCUGGUUCGAAUCCAGCCGGGCAUUCCA